GGAAUAUUGGACAAUGGGGGCAACCCUGAUCCAGCAAUGCCGCGUGUGUGAAGAAGGUCUUCGGAUUGUAAAGCACUUUCGACGGGGACGAUGAUGACGGUACCCGUAGAAGAAGCCCCGGCUAACUUCGUGCCAGCAGCCGCGGUAAUACGAAGGGGGCUAGCGUUGCUCGGAAUGACUGGGCGUAAAGGGCGUGUAGGCGGUUUACACAGUCAGAUGUGAAAUCCCCGGGCUUAACCUGGGAGCUGCAUUUGAUACGUGUAGACUAGAGUGUGAGAGAGGGUUGUGGAAUUCCCAGUGUAGAGGUGAAAUUCGUAGAUAUUGGGAAGAACACCGGUGGCGAAGGCGGCAACCUGGCUCAUGACUGACGCUGAGGCGCGAAAGCGUGGGGAGCAAACAGGAUUAGAUACCCUGGUAGUCCACGCUGUAAACGAUGUGUGCUAGAUGUUGGGU
RNAcentral lists this ribosomal RNA (453 nucleotides) under uncultured bacterium. RNAcentral describes it as "partial 16S ribosomal RNA". It matches the Rfam family "Bacterial small subunit ribosomal RNA", at positions 358 to 828 of the family's 1533-position model. The record is from RNAcentral.